Molecule: ribosomal RNA, 585 nt
Filed under: uncultured Alphaproteobacteria bacterium
Lineage: Bacteria; Pseudomonadati; Pseudomonadota; Alphaproteobacteria
Description: bacterial SSU rRNA
Rfam family: Bacterial small subunit ribosomal RNA
Source: RNAcentral
GGGCCCGACGUCGCAUGCUCCCGGCCGCCAUGGCGGCCGCGGGAAUUCGAUUAGAGUUUGAUCAUGGCUCAGAACGAACGCUGGCGGCAUGCCUAACACAUGCAAGUCGAACGAAGGCUUCGGCCUUAGUGGCGCACGGGUGCGUAACGCGUGGGAAUCUGCCCCUUGGUUCGGAAUAACAGUUAGGAAUGACUGCUAAUACCGGAUGACGACGUAAGUCCAAAGAUUUAUCGCCGAGGGAUGAGCCCGCGUAGGAUUAGCUAGUUGGUGUGGUAAAGGCGCACCAAGGCGACGAUCCUUAGCUGGUCUGAGAGGAUGAUCAGCCACACUGGGACUGAGACACGGCCCAGACUCCUACGGGAGGCAGCAGUGGGGAAUAUUGGACAAUGGGCGAAAGCCUGAUCCAGCAAUGCCGCGUGAGUGAUGAAGGCCUUAGGGUUGUAAAGCUCUUUUACCCGGGAUGAUAAUGACAGUACCGGGAGAAUAAGCUCCGGCUAACUCCGUGCCAGCAGCCGCGGUAAUACGAAUCACUAGUGAAUUCGCGGCCGCCUGCAGGUCGACCAUAUGGGAGAGCUCCCAACGCGU